This 497-nucleotide ribosomal RNA is filed under the name uncultured bacterium. RNAcentral describes it as "partial 16S ribosomal RNA". It matches the Rfam family "Bacterial small subunit ribosomal RNA", at positions 28 to 507 of the family's 1533-position model. The record is from RNAcentral.
GAUGAACGCUGGCGGCGUGCCUAAUACAUGCAAGUCGAGCGAACGGACGAGAAGCUUGCUUCUCUGAUGUUAGCGGCGGACGGGUGAGUAACACGUGGAUAACCUACCUAUAAGCCUGGGAUAACUUCGGGAAACCGGAGCUAAUACCGGAUAAUAUUUUGAACCGCAUGGUUCAAAAGUGAAAGACGGUCUUGCUGUCACUUAUAGAUGGAUCCGCGCUGCAUUAGCUAGUUGGUAAGGUAACGGCUUACCAAGGCAACGAUGCAUAGCCGACCUGAGAGGGUGAUCGGCCACACCGGAACUGAGACACGGUCAAGACUCCUACGGGAGGCAGCAGUAGGGAAUCUUCCGCAAUGGGCGAAAGCCUGACGGAGCAACGCCGCGUGAGUGAUGAAGGUCUUCGGAUCGUAAAACUCUGUUAUUAGGGAAGAACAUAUGUGUAAGUAACUGUGCACAUCAUGACGGUACCUAAUCAGAAAGCCACGGCUAACUACGUG